AAGCUCGUAGUUGAAUUUCGGGCCUGUCCAGACGGUCCGCCUUAAUUGGUGUGUACUGUCCUUGGGUGGGUCCUACCUUCUGGCGAAGCGGCAUGGCCUUAAUUGGUUGUGUCGGGGAACCAGGACUUUUACUGUGAAAAAAUUAGAGUGUUCAAAGCAGGCAAAUAUGCUCGAAUACAUUAGCAUGGAAUAAUGGAAUAGGACGUUUGAUUCUAUUUUGUUGGUUUCUAGGAUCGACGUAAUGAUUAAUAGGGAUAGUUGGG
This 263-nucleotide ribosomal RNA is filed under the name uncultured Glomeromycotina. RNAcentral describes it as "partial 18S ribosomal RNA". It matches the Rfam family "Eukaryotic small subunit ribosomal RNA", at positions 624 to 886 of the family's 1831-position model. The record is from RNAcentral. Lineage: Eukaryota; Fungi; Glomeromycota.